RNAcentral lists this ribosomal RNA (254 nucleotides) under uncultured bacterium. Its description in RNAcentral is "partial 16S ribosomal RNA". It matches the Rfam family "Bacterial small subunit ribosomal RNA", at positions 524 to 776 of the family's 1533-position model. The record is from RNAcentral.
CACGUAGGGGGCAAGCGUUGUCCGGAUUUAUUGGGCGUAAAGGGCUCGUAGGCGGCUUGGCAAGUCGGAUGUGAAAACUCGAGGCUCAACCUCGAGACGCCAUUCGAUACUGCUAUGGCUUGAGUCUGGUAGGGGAGCACGGAAUUCAUGGUGUAGCAGUGAAAUGCGUAGAUAUCAGGAGGAACACCGGUGGUGUAGACGGCUUUCUGGACCGUAACUGACGCUGAGACACGAAAGCGUGGGUAGCAAACAGG